This 264-nucleotide ribosomal RNA is filed under the name Bacillus sp. AFS051223. RNAcentral describes it as "partial 23S ribosomal RNA". It matches the Rfam family "Bacterial large subunit ribosomal RNA", at positions 240 to 551 of the family's 2925-position model. The record is from RNAcentral. Lineage: Bacteria; Bacillati; Bacillota; Bacilli; Caryophanales; Bacillaceae.
UUAGUAGUGGCGAGCGAACGUGGACUAGCCCUUAAGUGGCUUUGAGAUUAGCGGAACGCUCUGGAAAGUGCGGCCAUAGUGGGUGAUAGCCCUGUACGCGAAAAUCUCUUGGUCAUGAAAUCGAGUAGGACGGAGCACGAGAAACUUUGUCUGAAUAUGGGGGGACCAUCCUCCAAGGCUAAAUACUACUGACUGACCGAUAGUGAACUAGUACCGUGAGGGAAAGGCGAAAAGAACCCCGGAGAGGGGAGUGAAAUAGAUCCU